UUCAACCAGGUUGUGCUGAAGAGGUUGUAA
This 30-nucleotide non-coding RNA is filed under the name Homo sapiens (human). The record is from RNAcentral. Lineage: Eukaryota; Metazoa; Chordata; Mammalia; Primates; Hominidae.